UUUUGAUCACUUGGUAAAUGAUGUCAAAAAAUUAUAAAAUUUGGUUUCUAAAUAGUUCCAACAUAGUAGAUUAUAUUUAACGGAGCCGAUCGUCGAAUCGGAUUUCCUAUCAUCGAAAACAACUUACAAGCACGGAGUUCUCCGUACUUUCGAAAAUACAGUAGACUUACUCUAUAUAUAUAUAUAUAUAUAUAUAUAUAGAAUUGAGCUAAAAUACUUUUAGAAGCACCAACCCCUUGGUGCUUCUAAGUUUGUAGCCCUUGGAUCUACUCCUUGAUUACUAAUAACCUUUAGAUCAAAUACUAUUCUACCUACCACCACCUACCACCAUCAUCUCAACCUCACAUCUCUCCAUCUAAUGGCUAAAAACUCAAAAGCACCACCCCCUUGGUGCUACCAUGCUAU
Molecule: long non-coding RNA, 405 nt
Filed under: Ananas comosus (pineapple)
Lineage: Eukaryota; Viridiplantae; Streptophyta; Magnoliopsida; Poales; Bromeliaceae
Description: long non-coding RNA (ACOM_LNC026793)
Source: RNAcentral